UCACAGCUACUGUGCUUAUAAUCUUAUUUUGUGUAACUCAUAUCCAGAGUUACUUCUGUUUAUUUUUAAUGAAAAACUAUCGCUGUUAUCUUCUAUCAUGAGUUAACUGCGGAGUAUGUUUUUUAAAUUUUGUAUAUUUGCUCUCACCCUAAAAGAUACCAUAAGAGACUUUUUUUCCCCUUUUUUUCCCACUGCUUUCCAAGACUCCAGGAAAAACAGCUUCCAUGGCACAUCUUGUACAGGAAACUUCUAGAAUGAGUGCUGCGGAAAGUUCUAUGGAGCAUGCAGAGUGUGCUCAAUCAUCAAGAAGAACGAACUUGACAAAUUCUCUUGAACAAAAGAUAAGGUGCUUGGAAAAACAGAGAAAAGAGCUCCUGGAAGUUAACCAGCAAUGGGAUCAGCAAUUUAGAAGUAUGAAAAAGUUGUAUGAAAGAAAGGUCGCGGAGCUGAGGACGAAACUGGAUGCCGCGGAAGGACGGCUGGGCGCGCCGGAUGGGGAGCGACGGCAGCAGCGCCUGAGAGACGGCGACGGGCCGCGCGAGGAAAAGGAAAAGGAAAGCCUAAAUGAAGAAUUGCAUGAAUUGAAGAAAGAAAAUAAGCUUUUGAAGGAAAAAAAUGCUCUUGCAAACAAGAAGAAGGAACAUUUAGAAUGUGAAAUAAGACGCCUCAAUAAGGCUCUUCAGGAUGCCCUGAGCAUCGAGUGUUCUUCAUCUUCCGGGGAUUGUUUGUGGAAGUCUGGAGAGCGCCGCCUUCAAGAGCUGAGGACAGAAAUGGAAGUUCUCAAGCAGCAGGUGCAAAUAUAUGAAGAAGACUUCAAAAAAGAAUGAUCGGAUCGAGAAAGACUUAAUCAAGAGAAAGAGGAGCUACAGCAGAUUAAUCAGACUUCCCAGUCCCAGCUGAACAGGCUCAAUUCUCAGACAAAAGCUUGUCAGAUGGAGAAAGAAAAACUGGAAAAGCAAUUAAAACAGAUGUGUUUGCCAACCUGUCACUGCAGCUUGGUUUUCCACCUGCGGGAUCCCUGGGGACCAGCAGGCCCUGCGGCUGUGCAGAAUCCACAGGAGCACCCACCAGACUGCCCGUGGUACGCUCCGGACCAGCUUCCGCCAGACGCACAGCACAAGGCCAACGGUGAGAGCACAGCUGCACUGCUCAGUCUUUCAUGUUGACUUUCUGAUGGGAUGUUGACUCAACAUGUAUUCAUUUGUGCUCGGGCAAGACUUACUAUAAAGUCGUGUUGCCCACACAACUUUAAUUUGAUGUACCUGGGGUUAAAUUAAACUCCUAAAAACAAAGAAAAUGUGCAGCUGCAGAAAUGCAUGAAUCUCCAUUCUGGCUUCUGGUCCUGUUCCAGUCUCAGAGCCAGAAUUCCAUCUGGGGCUAGAAAUGAAAACUUUCCGCAUAUCUGUAUGUAACAGCAGCAAAGCUCUGCGAUUGUACUACAAAGGACAAGUGCUCAUCUAUUCCAGGUUUAAAUGUCACUGGCAGACAGACAGAGGCAGCCAAAGGCUCAGAACUGUGUUCCCUUCUGGCUAAAUGUCAGACUCCAUGGCAGAGCUGCUCGUGUAGGCCGGGGUUGCCCACAACAGCCACCUCGUAGUGUGCUGGGAAAAACCACAAGUCGCCUGUCAAGUACUCAUAUCUAAGAGUACUUUGUAAUCUUACUUUUCUUUAGUUUACCAUUCUCCUUCUUUUUUAUAGAAUCUGCUAUACUUUCUACCACUAUACUUUCUAUGGUCUCACAUGGCCCCCUAGAAGGAAGCUGUAUAAACUGAGAUAUAAUCAUAAUCCCACUUUUAUUCUCAUCGCAUAUAAUCCAAAGUCCUUAAUGUCUGCCACAUGUUUGAAGUCUCAUGACACACAACUGUGACUCUGACUUGUUAAUUUCCAAAAAUUUCAAUCUAUCUAAAGAAGCUGAAGAUCUAUUCUAAUUUCAGGCCAUUUAGUUCAGAGCUGAGAUCAUAGAAUUCUAGUUUUUAAUACAGGGAGUCCAUUGUGGAGUGAAAGUAGGGAACCAGGGAUACCACAGUUCGAGUUGUGAACUUCAGAGAGCUGCUGGGUUUGUCAUGGUAGUCUAUGUGAAUGGACGCUCUCAGAGUUGUGCAGUAUACAACCUGGACAGCUGUACACAGCACUGGGAGUGUUAAAGGCCAUAGCUUAUGGUAACAUCACAGAGAAGAAAUAUAAAAUGUGAGAACUCUAUAAUAAAAUGUCCAGGUAGGUAUUUAUCAGAAAACUAUAGGACUUGCUGUUUUUCUUUGCUUUCUACUACAGAUAUAACUAGUGGUUUUAAUGAAGUUCUUGGGCUCCAGCUGUAAUGGAGAGCUUUCGUUAGAAAGGCAUAUUUUCCAGAAUGGUUGUUGCAUAACAUCUGUGCUUUUGAAAUCCAUUGCUGUGUAAUAGCUGAGUUGCUACCCAAUUAUAAUUUUCAUUUUAUAUUGGUCUGGAAUGAAUAUUAAAGAUAUUUUCUCCUUGAGUUGGAGUUUAAUCACUAGAAAAUACUCAAUAGAGAAUUACUCAGAAAUUACUCAGUAGAGAAUUCAGUAAUAUCAUAAGUCCAUUUAUAUAUCACUAUGCUAAUAAUUAUGUAAAAUAGAGAUGAAUUGUGGUGACAUUCAGAAACUAAAUAGAACAUGCAAAAAUGAAAUUUUGUAGUCAGUGUAUGAGACCUGCUGAUUUUGUCUACUUAGGAAAAAUAUAAUUCGUUUUGUGACGUAUACAUAUACAGUGUGUCUACAGAUGUAAAACUACAGUAAAGAAUAAACCUCGGUGCGUACCCACCUAAGUAUUUUUAAAAAUAUUACUAUUUUAAUCUUCACAAGGAUGCUAUAAAAUAGGUUUUAUUUUAAACUGUUUUACACAUGAGGAAACUGAGGCUUGGAGAGUUUAAGUAAUAUAUCUAAAUCCCACGGUAAAUGGUAGCACUGGGAUUAGAAUCUCUGAUAUGCAGGAUUCUAAGACCUAAGCUUUGAAGCAAACCCUGUAGUGCCUUUGAAAAGCUGCCCCUCCACUAUGUUGAAAUUUUCUAACAUUACAAAGAUGAGAAUGGGGCUCCAAUUUGGAUAAUAAUAUGACUAGUGUUUAACCCUCAAUAAUUUCACCUUGCUGUGAACCACAGCAUAUAUUACCUGUGCUGCUCAUCUGACACGUAGAAUCUCACAGGUAAAGGACGCAGUCCUGUGUGAGAGUAAGAGUGCAGUUAGUAUGUUGUGAACUAAUGUGUGCAUGGGCAGGCCUGGUGGGACCUGACAGGGGCGUGUUGCCGUUGGAAACCUGUCCUUCUCCACGCCAGCACAGCUCGGCAGCUCGCAGAGGCUUGUCUGCACCAGGGAGAGGGCUGACCAUGGCUGGGGGGCCACGAAAGGAAUUCUUGGCUCGGAAAUCUGCCUGUGUGGGUUUGCCAUGGCUCCUUCUGGCUCCACAGCCAGUGGUGUAUGUCACAGCUGAAGCCAGGUCACCUGACUCGGCAAGAGCUCUGAAAUCACCCUUGUCACAAAUGAUUCACGUGCCAGCAUAUAAUGUCAGUAGUGAUUCUUGUUUUUUGGUUCAUUUAAUUGGAAAGCUCUUUUUGGUUGUCAGUAGAAAAAAAGCCAAACUCUGUAAAAUAAUUUUAAAGAGAUUUAUUCUGAGCCAAAUUUGAGGCUCAAAGCCAAGAAG
Molecule: RNA transcript, 3654 nt
Organism: Lemur catta (Ring-tailed lemur)
Lineage: Eukaryota; Metazoa; Chordata; Mammalia; Primates; Lemuridae
Gene name: TNFAIP3-interacting protein 3-like
Exons: 10
Source: RefSeq, a predicted model, not a curated record